Molecule: long non-coding RNA, 1231 nt
Organism: Bos taurus (domestic cattle)
Lineage: Eukaryota; Metazoa; Chordata; Mammalia; Artiodactyla; Bovidae
Source: Ensembl
GGAAGAACGAGGUCGAUGCUCCGCUCCCAGAUGGCAGCAGAGAGUCAUUGGAAGGCAAGAGCACUUCUUUAAUAACUGCCAUCAUCACCUUGAUCAUCUCGCAAGAACAACAUUGGAUAAGUCCUUUAUAAUUUGCAAAGUGCUUUCUAUAAUACGAACAGAAAUACUGCUCUAGAGUGAUGUGGACCUGAAGCUCCAUGAGGGCCCCAUAUCCUUGGGCUUUUCUUAUUGUUCCUAGUACCUAGCAGAGAAGCUGGUACAACAUAGGAGCUCAGUAAGUAUCUGUUGAAGAGGAAAAAAUUGGAGGAAUCUAGUUUAGAGGCUGCUGCAAUAAUUCAAGUAAGAGAGAAGUGAUGAGAAGCAUCACUUAAUCCAAGAGUGUAUAAUUCUUUGAACUACUGACUCUGGAAAGGAAAAACCUAUGGCUGCCUACCUCCAAGCACCUUCAAGAGGUUGGAAUUUAGUUAUCCAAAAUGGUUGCUGAAUAAUUGCAACAAUUUUCCUCUCCAACAUACCAAAAAUAAAAAUGGCACCUGGGUGGCCAACACCCAGUCAAGCCAGGAUUUCCUCUGUUGUAUGCUCUUUAUGUUUUUUGGCUCCUGAAUUUUGUCCCAAUGGUCUCUAUUAUGUGGCAAUAACAUUCCAUGCCAUUGUUUGCUUCAGUGUUUUAAAGGGCAAUCACCAUGCUAAUGAAACUCAGUCUUGGCUCAAGAACUAAAAUCUACCUUCUGUUUCUCCACCCCUCUGGGAAGUCCACAUGGACCCUGAUAACAGCUAACCUACAGAUGACUGACUUAUAUUAGGCUCCUUUAUAGCACUCGGGGCUUCUCUGGUGGCUCAGAUGGUAAAGAAUCUGUCUGCAAUGUGGGAUACCAGGGUUUGAUCCCUGGUUUGGUCUUGCCUGGAGAAUCCCAUGGACAGAGGAGCCUGCCAGGUUGCAGUCCAUGGGAUCAUAGAGAGUCACGUGACUGAGCAACUAACACUUUCACUUUUUUUUCACUUUAUAGCCCUUGACAUAUAUUAACCCUGUGAGGUAGGUAUGACUCAGAUGAAGAAAAAAAGAAGUCAUGAGAUUUGCUUGACAGAGGCAGACCUCAAACUUUGGCUAUUUGACUUGAGUCUACUGUUUCCAACAAUAUACCUGACUGUCUCCCAGAUACAAAAUUUCCUAUUUUGUUUCCUCCCAGACUGCCUGUGUAAGCCUGGAAAAUAAUUUAAUCUCUGAGAGCCC